This 76-nucleotide transfer RNA is filed under the name Desulfobulbales bacterium. RNAcentral describes it as "tRNA-Asn". It matches the Rfam family "tRNA". From Rfam's summary of the family: Transfer RNA (tRNA) molecules are approximately 80 nucleotides in length. Lineage: Bacteria; Pseudomonadati; Thermodesulfobacteriota; Desulfobulbia; Desulfobulbales. RNAcentral also lists the same sequence under 1 other name. The record is from RNAcentral.
UCCUCGGUAGCUCAGUUGGUAGAGCAGGUGACUGUUAAUCACCCUGUCGGGGGUUCGAAUCCCUCCCGAGGAGCCA